RNAcentral lists this ribosomal RNA (500 nucleotides) under uncultured bacterium. Its description in RNAcentral is "bacterial SSU rRNA". It matches the Rfam family "Bacterial small subunit ribosomal RNA", at positions 900 to 1404 of the family's 1533-position model. The record is from RNAcentral.
CUCAAAGGAAUUGACGGGGACCCGCACAAGCGGUGGAUGAUGUGGUUUAAUUCGACGCAACGCGAAAAACCUUACCUACCCUUGACAUGCCUGGAAUCCUGCAGAGAUGCGGGAGUGCUCGAAAGAGAGCCAGGACACAGGUGCUGCAUGGCCGUCGUCAGCUCGUGUCGUGAGAUGUUGGGUUAAGUCCCGCAACGAGCGCAACCCUUGUCAUUAGUUGCUACGAAAGGGCACUCUAAUGAGACUGCCGGUGACAAACCGGAGGAAGGUGGGGAUGACGUCAGGUCAUCAUGGCCCUUAUGGGUAGGGCUACACACGUCAUACAAUGGCCGGUACAGAGGGCUGCCAACCCGCGAGGGGGAGCCAAUCCCAGAAAACCGGUCGUAGUCCGGAUCGCAGUCUGCAACUCGACUGCGUGAAGUCGGAAUCGCUAGUAAUCGCGGAUCAGCUUGCCGCGGUGAAUACGUUCCCGGGUCUUGUACACACCGCCCGUCACACCA